GUUUUAAAAGCCACCUACAAAUACCAACAAGCAAGCCCCCAGGAGCUAUUAAAUUAUCACAACAUUCACACGUCUGAAGGCAUUUCUCAUUCAUCUGGAUUCUGUUUGGUUCAGCAAAUAUCCGUUGAGUUUCUACUACUACAUGCCAGACACUGGAAAGACAAAAUGUAAUACCACAGGCCCUGUCCUUGAGGAAUUUCUGGUCAAGCUGGGCAGGGGAAGGGAAACAGAAACUUCCUGUGUAAGUGCUCCCCAGUCAGGCUCACACAGGGCCGUGGGGUAGGUCUGCUCCCAGGAACGGCUGAGGUGUGUGACUGAGGUGCGUGUGGGGUUGGAGGGGUAUCACGGAGAGCUGGGUCUUGGAGAAAGAGCCAGAGGGGGAAGGGUGGGAGAGCCGUUUCUGUCAGAGAACUUGGCAUAAACACAGGCAUCCAGGUGUGACACUGCCCGGUUUCACUGGUCCUACUUGUAAAAGUAGGGCUGGCAAAGGCAAAAGCAGGGCUGAAGCUGCAAAGCAAGGGUGGCAUGCCUGGCUCGAGGGUACCUGGGGUUUGGGUGAGGAGCUUGGAUGCUGUCCUGUGAAGUGGGAGACCCUAGGAGGUGAGCUACUUUGCGCAUGGCACGUCUCUGGACUGGAGAACUACCUUAUGUCCUGCGUAUCAGAGUCCUCCGUUACCAUUUCUUGGAGAGACAUCGAGGAGGAUCACAAACACAUGGAGGAGAGGACACCUGGCUUUAACCUACCUUCGAUAUCACUAUCGUGUUGGCCAAGUCACUUUUCUCAUCUACAAGAUGAAGCCGAUUCAGGGAGAGAGAUAUUGGAGGAUGACGGAGACCUGAACUCAUGUUUGUGACAGUUUUUCCUCUUGAGAAAAGACAGAAAAGUGCUUGGAAAUAUAUUGAUAAUUUGCCUAAGACAUAUGAGACAAAUAAAUUGGUAUAAUCCAGGAAAAUACUAGCCCAUUUAGAAGUCACCUUUAUAUCAAAAGGCAUUUACAAGAAAAGUAAUGGCAACAUUGUUCACAAUUCAAAAUAACUGAAAACAUUCCAAAUGGUUACCAAUAGUAGAAAGGAUGAUUUUGGUGUAUUUGUAAAAUGGAACAUUAGAGAUCAAUGACAAUGAACAAAUAGUAACUGCACAGAACAACGUGGCUGAUUCUUACAGGCUGCUGAGCAAACAGAGCAAGAAAAAAGAAACAGAUGAAACUAAACGAUAAAUUCUUUAGAGACACACACCAAUGCAUAUGAGAUAAAACUAAUGGAGAGCAAGAGAAUUAUUAACACAGAUAAUUAUAUAAUGGCCUCCUCAGUGUGGGAAGAGAAUGGCAGAUAACAAUUGGGGUGAAGAGUUUCAGAGGCAGAGGUAAUGCUUUAUUGAAGUGUGUGGUGAAUAUAUGGAUGUUUACUUUAUUAUUCUUUACAAUGUACGUUAUAUACACACACAUCACAUGUACAAUGUAUAUAAUACAUAGUAUAUAUAAUGUACAUACAGCAUAUUUCAUAAUUUAUAAAUAUGAAAACUAUAUGAAAAAACCCCACUUCACCAUAUAUGUGAAAGAAGACCUAAGUGAAUGGAGAAAUAUUUACUGAGGGAUCAUAGCACUUUUUGUAUAUUUUGAAGACGAAAAUUUUCAUUGAAUUUAAAGAUUUAAAUGGGAUUUCACUCAAGAUCCCAUAUAUAGGCAAGAAAAUUUAAGAAAAAGAUUUUAUAAGAGAAAGGAAAGAAAAAGAAAAGGAAAAGGAAUGGAGGUUUAUUAUCCAAAAUAUAAAAUUGCAUUAUAAGUUUAUAAUAAAAUAGGAAAUGAUGACAAAAUAAACCAUCAGAGCAACGUAACACAAUGUAUAUAUAUAAUAUGUAUAUAGUAUGUGUACAUAGUAUACAUCGUAUAUUUAUGCACAUAGUAUAAAAACAGAUCCUACAUUUUCUUCAUCUAAUAAAGGAUAUUUACAAACAACAUAUAUAACUAAUAUGAUACCCAGUAGUGAAAUAUGGAACACUUUUCCUGAGUUUGGGAACAAGGAAAGGAUAUGCAGUACCAUCACUUCUAUUUAGUGUUGUAAUGGAAGCCCUAUCCAGUGCAAUACAGCUAGAAAAAGAAAAAAAAAGUAUAAAUAAA
This is a long non-coding RNA of Canis lupus familiaris (dog), 2117 nucleotides long. RefSeq lists it as uncharacterized. The record is from RefSeq and is a predicted model, not a curated record. The transcript is spliced from 2 exons. NCBI's taxonomy places the organism in Eukaryota, Metazoa, Chordata, Mammalia, Carnivora, Canidae.